RNAcentral lists this ribosomal RNA (1375 nucleotides) under Conus tabidus. RNAcentral describes it as "16S ribosomal RNA". The stretch from base 654 to 1375 matches the Rfam family "Archaeal large subunit ribosomal RNA", at positions 1423 to 2817 of the family's 2987-position model. Lineage: Eukaryota; Metazoa; Mollusca; Gastropoda; Neogastropoda; Conidae. The record is from RNAcentral.
AGUUUAAUAUUAGCAAUUAAUAGGUUGAAAUAAUGUUGUAAAUGAAACAAAACAUUAUCAAAUUUAGUAAAGGUGAUUGAGAUUUAAUAUCUUUGUAUGUGAAAAGUACUGUGAAGGAAAUAAUGUAACUAGGAAAUAGAAAUGUUUAAAUUUUGUACCUUUUGCAUCAUGGCUUAACUAGAUUAAACUUUAAAUUAAGAAUCUCGAAAUCUGAUGAGCUAUCUUUGUUCUGUUUUAUAGAUCAUUUAAAUAAGUUGGUUGUGGCAAAAACUUCUUAAGAAUCAAAGAUAGAUAUGAAAUUUUAUUCGCAUUGGAUGAUAGCUAGUUCUUCUUUAAGGGUAUAUUAGUACCUUGAACUAUAUACUUAACGCUGUAAAUACAUAGUUUACAGUUGUUUAUGUUAGUUUAUUUAAACUUUCGAGGAUAAGCUCGGAAGCAGAUUAAAAUUUGCAUCUAAUUUUUCUUGAAAUAUAGGCUUAGUAAUGGCUAUUGAAAAAGGAAUUUGUUAUAAUUCAUUUUUUAAUUUAUAAUAUAAUAUAUUUGCUUUAAUGAAUAAUAAGGAAGAAAUUUUAAUAAUUCAUAGUUGAAAUAAUUCUAUGUUAAGAUGAGUAUUAAAUCAUAUAUCAAGAUUAUACUAAUAAUAUAAAAUUUAGAUCUAUGUAAGAGAUUUUAAGAUAAAAUCAUUAAAAGGAACUCGGCAAAAACGUAUUCUGCCUGUUUAUCAAAAACAUGGCUUCGUGUCAUUUUUAAAAUACGAAGUCGGACCUGCCCAGUGAGUUUUAAACGGCCGCGGUACUCUGACCGUGCAAAGGUAGCAUAAUCAUUUGCCUUAUAAUUGAAGGCUGGAAUGAAUGGUUUGACAAGAAUACAUCUGUCUCUUUUUGAUUUCCUAGAAUUUUAUUUUUGGAUGAAAAAGUCCAGAUUUAAUUAAAAGACAAGAAGACCCUAUCGAGCUUUAGAGAAAUUGACGGAUUUAUUAGUCCUCUAUAGUAAUAAAAGAAGAGCCGUUAAGUAUACUUUGGUUGGGGCAACCGAGGAGCAGAUAAAGCCUCCUCUAAAUUUUAAGUCUUACUUGUGUUGAUCCAAAAAUUUUGAUCAAAGGAAUUAGUUACCGUAGGGAUAACAGCAUUAUCUUUUUCAAGAGCCCAUAUCGAAAAAAAGGUUUGUGACCUCGAUGUUGGACCAGAAUAUCCUAAAGAUGCAGAAGUCUUUAAGGGUUGGUCUGUUCGACCAUUAAAAUUCUACGUGAUCUGAGUUCAGACCGGCGUGAGCCAGGUCAGUUUCUAUCUUUAUAUUUUUUGGUUGCACUUAGUACGAAAGGACCGGCGUAACAUAUACCAUAUUAUAAGUAGAUUAAAUAUAAUUCAACUUUAAA